RNAcentral lists this transfer RNA (74 nucleotides) under Lachnospiraceae bacterium. RNAcentral describes it as "tRNA-Met". It matches the Rfam family "tRNA". Rfam says of the family: Transfer RNA (tRNA) molecules are approximately 80 nucleotides in length. Lineage: Bacteria; Bacillati; Bacillota; Clostridia; Lachnospirales; Lachnospiraceae. The record is from RNAcentral.
GGCGAGAUAGCUCAGUUGGCCAGAGCACACGGUUCAUACCCGUGGUGUCGAGGGUUCGAAUCCCCCUCUCGCUA